Long non-coding RNA from Sinocyclocheilus grahami, 2682 nucleotides. Ensembl annotates it as disintegrin and metalloproteinase domain-containing protein 12-like. The record is from Ensembl. Lineage: Eukaryota; Metazoa; Chordata; Actinopteri; Cypriniformes; Cyprinidae.
GCUUGAGUUCAUAUUGGCUCGUGCGCUCAUGGAAAGCUGAUGUGUGGCGCGCUCUGAGAGUCUCUCACAUUUCAGGAAGUGUCGGAAGUCCUCAGCUGCUGUCCGUCUGUCCUGCUCUAUAUUAUGGUCGCGCAGCCGUGAUCCGCGUGGAUCGUUGGUGUGGAUCUCCGGUGGGGCACCAUGUCCACCCGGUACAGCCCGAGGCGUGCGCUCCUGCUCCUGCCCGCGGUCUGCGCGCAUGUUGUGUCCGUGCUGACUGUCUGCUGCGCCGGGAGCAUGUUUACAGCCGCUGCCUAUCCGAAUCAACACGACACGCUGGAGCGUUAUGACAUAAUCAAACCACACCUGCUCAUUGGAGGACAGCAGAGACCGGUUAGUCUCAUAAAGUCAAUGGGUCAUCCUGGAUCACUGAAGGUGCUGAUUGAAGUGGAUGGAGAGCAACUGCUACUUGCUUUGCAGAAAAAUGAAGGGCUGUUUGCUAGUCACUACACAGAAACACACUACCUGGAGGAUGGAAGUGCCGUCACCACCUCACCGAAUGUCACGAUUCACUGCUACUAUCAUGGCGAGGUGGAGGGUCACCCGGGGUCAGAGGUCAGCCUCAGCACCUGCACAGGACUCAGGGGACUGAUUUCACUUGAACAUGAAGUGUAUGUACUGGAGCCGAUGGAAGAGGGAAACACACACCGUCUUUACAGAGGAGAACAUCUUAAACUCACCCAGGGAACCUGCGGACACGGUCACAACAUUUCAUACCCUACAGAGAUGAUGAACACUACUGGAGCCGUCUUCAGCUCUCACAGCAGCCAGAGGCAUAAAAGAGACGCUCAGAGCAGCACCAAGCAUGUGGAGUUGAUCAUCGUCGCAGACAACCGCGAGUAUCAGAAACAGGGGAAAGACGUGGAGAAAGUGAAACAGAGGCUUGCUGAAAUAGCGAACUACGUGGACAAGUUUUACAGAUCGCUGAAUAUCCGUGUGGCUCUGGUGGGGCUGGAGGUGUGGAGUGACGGAGACAAAUGCUCCAUCACACAGGAUCCGUUCACAUCGCUCCACGAGUUCCUGGACUGGAGAAAAGUCAAGCUGCUCCCGCAGAGACCCCAUGAUAACGCUCAGCUCAUCAGUGGCGUUUACUUCCAGGGCACCACCAUCGGCAUGGCUCCCAUUAUGAGCAUGUGCACUGCGGAACAGUCAGGGGGCAUCGUCAUGGAUCACUCUGAUAACCCUCUCGGCGCUGCGGUUACUUUGGCCCAUGAGCUCGGACACAACUUCGGCAUGAACCACGACACACCGGAGCGCGGCUGCGGCUGCAGAGCCACCAUGGACCGCGGCGGGUGUAUCAUGACCCCCUCCACUGGGUAUCCUUUCCCUACAGUCUUCAGUACGUGCAGUAAGAAGGAUCUUGCGGCGAGUUUGGAGAAAGGUGUGGGCAUGUGUUUGUUCAACAUGCCAGAGGUGAAGGUGCUCUACGGAGGCCAGAAAUGUGGAAAUGGAUACGUCGAGGAGGGAGAGCAGUGUGAUUGCGGAGAUGUGGAGGAGUGUCUGAAUCCCUGCUGUAAUGCCAGUACAUGCACACUGAAGGACGAAGCCGUAUGUGCGCAUGGACAGUGUUGUGAAGACUGUCAGUUGAAGCCUGCAGGGACUCGGUGCCGUGAGUCCAGUAACUCCUGUGAUCUGCCGGAGUUUUGCACGGGUGCCGAUCCUCACUGUCCCGCUAAUGUCUACCUGCACGACGGACACACCUGUCAGGGUGUGGAUGGACACUGUUACAACGGCAUCUGCCAGACACACGAGCAGCAGUGCAUCACACUGUGGGGACAGGCUCCAGGUAUCUGUUUCGAAAGAGUCAACUCGGCGGGAGAUCCGUAUGGAAACUGUGGAAAAGAUUCAAAGGAAUCAUUUGCCAAAUGUGAAGCGCGAGAUGCUAAAUGUGGGAAGAUCCAGUGUCAGGGCGGAGCCAAUCGGCCAGUGAUUGGCACCAAUGCCGUCUCCAUAGAAACCAAUAUCCCGCUCCAGGAAGGAGGCCGUAUCCUCUGCCGCGGGACUCAUGUGUACCUGGGAGACGACAUGCCGGAUCCGGGCCUCGUGCUCACCGGCACCAAGUGUGGAGAAAACAUGAUGUGUAUAAACAGACAGUGUCAGAACAUCAGUGUGCUCGGGGUUCACGACUGUUCGGCCAAGUGCAGCGGACACGGGGUUUGUAAUAAUAAUAAGAACUGUCACUGUGAGUCACUCUGGGCUCCUCCGUUCUGUGAUAAAGCUGGGUUUGGAGGCAGUAUGGACAGCGGCCCGAUGAGACCAACAGGUAUUAAACAUGUAUCCGUGAUUAUUAUUAUACUGCACUUAAACCACAUCUACUCAAUUCACCAAUGUGUGUGUUUUUCUGUUCAUGCAGACAGCAGCAGUGUGACGGUGGGCAUCCUGACGGUGGACUCUGUGGUCCCGUCUCAUGGUCUCCGCCGGCUGCCCCCGUGCCCUCCGGUCCACCUCUCUCACCCGCUGCCGCUGGCACUUGGCCUUCCACUGACACCACCACACACACACUCGUCUCCACCCAGAGCCCCUCCACCAGCACUCACACACACAUACACAUCCGCUCCAGCAGUGGGAACGGCCGGCCGUGGCCUGGCCUGCCAGAAUGUCUGCAAGAUCGCCAUGGUGAGUGGAAAUAUGCCAGCGCUGUAG